This 582-nucleotide ribosomal RNA is filed under the name uncultured bacterium. RNAcentral describes it as "bacterial SSU rRNA". It matches the Rfam family "Bacterial small subunit ribosomal RNA", at positions 100 to 714 of the family's 1533-position model. The record is from RNAcentral.
GCACGGGUGAGUAACACGUGAAUAAUCUACCUCCGAGUGGGGAAUAACUGAGAGAAAUCUUAGCUAAUACCGCAUAACACUUACGAGUCAAAGCAGCAAUGCGCUUGGAGAGGAGUUCGCGGCAGAUUAGUUAGUUGGCGGGGUAAUGGCCCACCAAGACGAUGAUCUGUAUCCGGCCUGAGAGGGCGCACGGACACACUGGAACUGAAACACGGUCCAGACUCCUACGGGAGGCAGCAGUGGGGAAUUUUGCGCAAUGGGGGAAACCCUGACGCAGCAACGCCGCGUGGAGGAUGAAAUCCCUUGGGAUGUAAACUCCUUUCGAUAGGGAAGAUAAUGACGGUACCUAUAGAAGAAGCCCCGGCUAACUUCGUGCCAGCAGCCGCGGUAAUACGAGGGGGGCAAGCGUUGUUCGGAAUUAUUGGGCGUAAAGGGUGCGUAGGCGGUUUGACAAGUCUUAUGUGAAAUCUUCGGGCUCAACCCGAAGUCUGCAUAGGAAACUGUCGGGCUUGAGUAUUGGAGAGGUGAGUGGAAUUUCCGGUGUAGCGGUGAAAUGCGUAGAUAUCGGAAGGAACACCUGUG